This 105-nucleotide ribosomal RNA is filed under the name Streptomyces sp. b94. RNAcentral describes it as "partial 23S ribosomal RNA". It matches the Rfam family "Bacterial large subunit ribosomal RNA", at positions 2820 to 2925 of the family's 2925-position model. RNAcentral also lists the same sequence under 1 other name. Lineage: Bacteria; Bacillati; Actinomycetota; Actinomycetes; Kitasatosporales; Streptomycetaceae. The record is from RNAcentral.
UUGAGGGGUUAAGGCUCCCAGUAGACGACUGGGUUGAUAGGCCGGAUCUGGAAGCACCGCAAGGUGUGGAGGUGACCGGUACUAAUAGGCCGAGGGCUUGUCCUC